This 546-nucleotide ribosomal RNA is filed under the name uncultured rumen bacterium. RNAcentral's name for it is "bacterial SSU rRNA". It matches the Rfam family "Bacterial small subunit ribosomal RNA", at positions 926 to 1482 of the family's 1533-position model. The record is from RNAcentral.
CAAGCGGAGGAACAUGUGGUUUAAUUCGAUGAUACGCGAGGAACCUUACCCGGGCUCGAACGGCUGGUGAAGAGAACCAGAGAUGGUGACGUCCUUCGGGACACCAGUCGAGGUGCUGCAUGGUUGUCGUCAGCUCGUGCCGUGAGGUGUCGGCUCAGUGCCAUAACGAGCGCAACCUUGCCGUCAGUUACCAGCACGCAAUGGUGGGGACUCUGGCGGGACUGCCACCGCAAGGUGAGAGGAAGGGGGGGAUGACGUCAAAUCAGCACGGCCCUUACGUCCGGGGCGACACACGUGUUACAAUGGUGGGUACAGAGGGAAGCCAUGUGGCGACACAGAGCGGAACCCAAAAACCCAUCUCAGUUCGGAUCGGAGUCUGCAACCCGACUCCGUGAAGCUGGAUUCGCUAGUAAUCGCGCAUCAGCUAUGGCGCGGUGAAUACGUUCCCGGGCCUUGUACACACCGCCCGUCAAGCCAUGAAAGCUGGGGGCGCCUGAAGUUCGUGACCGCAAGGAGCGACCUAGGGCGAAACCGGUAAUUGGGGCU